AGAAGAACUGAAGAAGGCUGAAAUUUGAGAGGCAUUCUAAUAACCAAGACCUAGAGACUGUGUGGUGCCAGUGUUCAGAUGAACUUGCAAGUGCCUACAACAAAAAGAAGAACUGUAUUCUGGAAGUCACAUGCCUUCGAGGGAGCUGCUAACUCCAACACUCAGGCUCUGAGUAGGAACCCAAGAUUUAUGCAGCAGAGGAGGCUUUCCAUCUUGGCUCAAAAGACAGCGUUACAUUGCCUUUUAAUUCUGAUCUUGACUCUUUUGUUGUGACUGAUGGAGAUGUAAUUUGGCAGAAGGCCUUUGCAAAAUGAAGCCUUUCUCCGUGGGACUAGCAGAGAGAAUGACAACCCAUUUCUAAUUUGCCACCAUUCUUCUGCAAGAGACUUUGAAUGGUUUCUGGCUGGAAUGAAUUGACUCAAUCAAAAAAUAUACCCAUUGCCAACCCCCUCCUUCAUUUCCCUACAUCAUGUUUUAUCCAAUGUUUCCAAACUUCACCUCUUGCAACAUUUGUGAAGGGAAAAUUUCAAAACCUCUUAAGAGUUUAAUGUUCUCCUUGCAACCUUAAAGACCUUUUCUCUCUUUCUACCCUUCAUUUCAGUUCGUUUCAAUCUAUGCCAGCGUGCUGCAUGUCUUCUGGGAGCGGAAACUGAGCCAGAUUUAGCUAGCAGGAGUGUCUUUCUCUGCUCUAUUAGAUGAGAAAUGCCACAGUAGCAGCCUGAAUUUUGCAUCCUCUUUGUGCUACUGCAUCACGUUGUGGAACUGCCUCCAAAUCGCUGUCUAGUGUCACCUGCAGGGCUGCCUGGGCACACCCGCUUCCGCCGCUCUGCCUUCCCUUCACUGGCUUUGCCUGUGCUCUCCCUAUAAUAAUUUUCAAAGCUUGUUAUUGUAUUUUCUUACACUGUUUUCAUUGCUCUGGUUUUUGUUUUGGUUUGGUUUUUUAUACUAUCUCCAUUCUCAUUAAUGCCAUCAGACCCUCUCAUUUCAGCAUUAUGUGAUGUGAUUAGCAUGUUGUUUACAGCAUGCUCUGCCAUUGUAUUAAUGAAGCUGCUAAAUGAGAUGAAACCAAUUUAUAAACCUUUUAAGCUCAUAGAAAGCUAAAUAAACUCACAUUCUCACUGUUUACCUUUCUGGUUUUUAAAGAUGUCUUUAAACGGCUUUCAAGCCACAUAAGUCAGCUUGAAGUCACUCUUUAUGGAAGAUUAACAAGACACAUCACCAACCGUCACACAAACCUGUGAAACAGGCCCUGCUGUUAUUUCAUGAGGACAACCAGGUGUAUUCAGAUCCUUGCUGCACCUUGCUUGGAACAAUCAUUUUCUCUUCUGAUCUGCUGCCUUGCAAUAAAAAUCAAAGCAUUUGAGCAUUUCCUUUAUGAGGUUACUCAUUACAUGUCUGGAAAAGGUAUGUAGAGAGAUGAAUGUUCUCCAGAAUACUCUCUAGUAAUUUCUGACUUUUAAUUUAGAGAAUAGGCACCCAUAUGGCUACGGGUCCAGACGAUGGGCUGUAAAAGACACUUGAUGCAAGGAAAAGGGAAAAUGAAGAUUUUGAGUAGACCCAAAUAUAGAGCCUUCUGUACUUUCUUUCUGGUCUUAACUUCCUCCAGAACAUACUCAAAUACCUUUGAACAGUUGUAUCUUACUUUUUCUGGACAACAGUCUUGAUUGUCGUGGAUAUCCUAUACACAGGUAUGUUAAAAAGUUUUACCUUCAGCUUUCUGGCUGAAAAAU
Long non-coding RNA from Corvus hawaiiensis (hawaiian crow), 1730 nucleotides. RefSeq lists it as uncharacterized. The record is from RefSeq and is a predicted model, not a curated record. The transcript has 4 exons. NCBI's taxonomy places the organism in Eukaryota, Metazoa, Chordata, Aves, Passeriformes, Corvidae.